Small nuclear RNA from Vulpes vulpes (red fox), 104 nucleotides. NCBI's taxonomy places the organism in Eukaryota, Metazoa, Chordata, Mammalia, Carnivora, Canidae. The record is from Ensembl.
GUGCUUGUUCUAGCAGCACAUAUUCUAAAAUUGGAACAAUACAGAGAUCAGUAUGGUUCCUGCACAAGGAUAACACACAAAUUCAUGAAAGUAUUCCAUAUUAA